GUUGACCAAAUUGUUCCGGAAGAUAUCUCUUUUGUGCGCCACUGCAUGCCACCGCUUGGUUAUAUUUGUAAUUUUGUGUUUCUUUGAUUGCUUAUAAGAUGCAAACAGUCUUCAUGCAAAAUCGACUGUGUACUUCACUUCUCAGUUGCAUGUAAAGCUUCUUCUCAAUUGUUGUGAAUCCAGAAACUCAUACACAAGGUUUCCAACAAAGUUGCUGCACUGCUUUCUGCCUUAGCCAUCAAUGGAGGUAUUGUUUUGCUAGGUUUAUUAACUUGCCUGUUUGUUCAUAGUUUGUCUCUAUCGUCUUUCCUGUUGUUCCUACCAGUUUUUUUUUUUCCUUAUUAUUACGCUUAAGAAGCUUCUGUUUUAUUCACUGUGUAAUUAUGUUAAAACAAAUCUCCUCGAUUGUAAUACGGACAACAUGAGUUCCUCUAAGUUAUAUCGACUUGACAAUGCUCUGAAUGUUCGUGAGAAAAAAAAUGAGUGGAAUAGAAAAAAGAGAGAAAAAUUUGCUGCUCUUUCGAAGGAAAAGAGGCUCAUCGAAGGAAAAGUAGAGAUGCGUAUCACAGAAAAAAUUUAACCAAACUUUUGUCCAAGCCAGUUGGUGAACAAUCUCAGCAGAUUUCCAAACUAUCAGAUACUUUAGGCUCUGUUACACCAGCUACUUCUAACAAUUGUGCUGAUGGUACGUAUCCAUUGCACAAUUUUGGCUUUCUCGUUUAUCCGUAAGCUUUCUCAUUUAUUCAUCGUUUUUUUUGAUAUUGUUGUAUGCAGCCUGACUCUUUGUCUACCGUGUAUUGCAGCUGCAAAACUUCAUGCAAAUACACUUGCUCAAAGAGCUGAUGGCUGUGUCAACACAGCUACCUCUUCUAAUCCUCAACUAUCUGCAUGCAACCGUCAAUAUGACAAUGUUACUUGGCUUCAAAUGUGCUCCGUCCCUCCUGCCUUCCAUGCACAUCAAAAUCAUCUUCGAGAUUCGCACAUUUCGCCGCUUUCCUAUGCCACUAUACAUGAUUAUGGUACAUGCCUAAUGGUUAUACUUACUACUAUAAGGAACUGGCACAAUUGUUUGUUUAUUUUCGGUUGCUGUCCUCAACUCUGUAUUUCUGUCUGUCUACUUGGUAGACAAUGAGGUUCCUAUACCUGACGCUGCAUCAAAAUUGAAGAAUGGUGUCUCCUACAUAUGAAUGAAAACAACUACUCCCUCUGUCCCAAAAUUUGGGACGCUUUUUGGGAAAUGC
This is a non-coding RNA of Coffea arabica (coffee), 1241 nucleotides long. Lineage: Eukaryota; Viridiplantae; Streptophyta; Magnoliopsida; Gentianales; Rubiaceae. The record is from RefSeq and is a predicted model, not a curated record.